Molecule: ribosomal RNA, 223 nt
Filed under: uncultured bacterium
Lineage: Bacteria
Description: partial 16S ribosomal RNA
Rfam family: Bacterial small subunit ribosomal RNA
Source: RNAcentral
GAUCAGGCUCAGGAUGAACGCUAGCUACAGGCUUAACACAUGCAAGUCGAGGGGCAGCAUGGUCUUAGCUUGCUAAGGCCGAUGGCGACCGGCGCACGGGUGAGUAACACGUAUCCAACCUGCCGUCUACUCUUGGACAGCCUUCAGAAAGGAAGAUUAAUACAAGAUGGCAUCAUGAGUCCGCAUGUUCACAUGAUUAAAGGUAUUCCGGUAGACGAUGGGG